AUACGUAGGUGACAAGCGUUAUCCGGAUUUACUGGGCGUAAAGGGCGUGUAGGCGGUCUUGCAAGUCAGAAGUGAAAUUCCUGAGCUCAACUCGGGCGCUGCUUCUGAAACUGCAGGACUUGAGUGCUGGAGGGGAUAGCGGAAUUCCUAGUGGAGCGGUAAAAUGCGCAGAUAUUAGGAAGAACACCGGUGGCGAAGGCGGCUAGCUGGACAGUAACAGACGCUGAGGCGCGAAAGCUGUGGAACAAAACAGAAUUAGAGACCCUGUUAGUCCCCGCCCUAAACGAUGAAUACAAGAUGUAGGGGGUAUCGACUCCCUCUGUGCCGCAGUUAACACAAUAAGUAUUCCGCCUGGGGAGUACGGCCGCAAGGUUGAAACUCAAAGGAAUUGACGGGG
RNAcentral lists this ribosomal RNA (397 nucleotides) under uncultured bacterium. RNAcentral describes it as "partial 16S ribosomal RNA". It matches the Rfam family "Bacterial small subunit ribosomal RNA", at positions 523 to 918 of the family's 1533-position model. The record is from RNAcentral.